CCGUUUUCAAGGCUUUCAGAUUUCCAUCGUCGCCGAUCUUGAGGUUCAGCCUCGUUCUCACACCGUGCGAGAAGAACUGUCAGCCUGUUUACUGCGGUAAUGGUGUAUCUUCUCUGGGUCGAACGAAGCGUGCAACUCUUCAGAUGCAAGAAAUCCCUCUACAGCUCUCGAUCAUUGUUAGACCUCUCGAUAUCAACGAGACAACAAACACGACGGACACAUCUCGACAACUUCACUCAGAUGAUACCGAAAUUUGCGCCACUUGGGGCAUGAUGGUUGCUAUUGGGGCUAUUUGGCUCGGCGUUCAAUUUUACUACUGGCAGUCUGCUGCUGCUGGGCGUCACGAAUCAGGCGAGAGAAAAAAUACAACGACACUGUAA
RNAcentral lists this long non-coding RNA (380 nucleotides) under Bemisia tabaci. RNAcentral describes it as "lncRNA ENSSSA2NGG006221". The record is from RNAcentral. Lineage: Eukaryota; Metazoa; Arthropoda; Insecta; Hemiptera; Aleyrodidae.